AUGGGAGGCAAACUGAGCAAGAAGAAGAAGGGGUACAAUGUGAAUGAUGAGAAGGCCAAGGACAAAGACAAGAAGGCUGAAGGGGCUGGGACAGAAGAGGAGGGAACCCCAAAGGAGAAUGAGGCCCAGGCUGCUGCCGAGACCCCAGAGGUGAAGGAGGGCAAAGAGGAGAAGCCGGAGAAGGAUGCCCAGGACACCACCACGCCCGAAGACAAUGAAGCGAGAAAGAUGCCGAGGCAGCCAAGAAGAUGCCCCGAAGCAGAGCCUGAGCCGACGAGGGGCCGAGGCAAGCCAGAGCCCCCAAGAUGCUGAGCAGAGCCGCGGCUGCUCAGCCCUCCACUGGCGCGACGCCCCCAAAGCUUCGGAGGCUGAGGCAGCAGAGCCUGCGGCCCCCACCAAGGAUGACAAGAGCAAGGAGGGAGGGGACGCCACAAAGACUGAGGCUCCCGCCGCUCCUGCCGCGCAGGAGACGAAAAGUGACGGGGCCCCAGCUUCAGACUCAAAACCCAGCAGCACUGAGGCUGCCCCAUCCUCCAAGGAGACGCCGGCAGCCACGGAAGCGCCGAGUUCCACGCCCAAGGCUCAGGCCCCCGCAGCCCCCGCAGACGAGGUCAAACCUGCCGAGACCCCGGCAGCUAAUUCCGAUCAAACCGUAGCAGUGAAAGAGUAA
This 670-nucleotide long non-coding RNA is filed under the name Bos taurus (domestic cattle). RNAcentral's name for it is "long non-coding RNA NONBTAT012579". The record is from RNAcentral. Lineage: Eukaryota; Metazoa; Chordata; Mammalia; Artiodactyla; Bovidae.